This 494-nucleotide ribosomal RNA is filed under the name uncultured bacterium. RNAcentral's name for it is "bacterial SSU rRNA". It matches the Rfam family "Bacterial small subunit ribosomal RNA", at positions 8 to 518 of the family's 1533-position model. The record is from RNAcentral.
AGAGUUUGAUUCUGGCUCGGGACGAACGCUGGCGGCGUGCCUAACACAUGCAAGUCGAGCGAGGAGAUUCCUUCGGGAUGAUCCUAGCGGCGGACGGGUGAGUAACACGUGGGCAACCUGCCUCAUAGAGAGGAAUAGCCUUCCGAAAGGGAGAUUAAUACCUCAUAACAUUGCAGUUUCGCAUGGAACAGCAAUUAAAGGAGUAAUCCGCUAUGAGAUGGGCCCGCGGCGCAUUAGCUAGUUGGUGAGGUAACGGCUCACCAAGGCGACGAUGCGUAGCCGACCUGAGAGGGUGAUCGGCCACAUUGGGACUGAGACACGGCCCAGACUCCUACGGGAGGCAGCAGUGGGGAAUAUUGCACAAUGGGGGAAACCCUGAUGCCAGCAACGCCGCGUGAGUGAUGACGGCCUUCGGGUUGUAAAGCUCUGUCUUCAGGGACGAUAAUGACGGUACCUGAGGAGGAAGCCACGGCUAACUACGUGCCAGCCGCGGC